UCCCAUUCCGUCCGCUUCCCAAAAUUUCACCACCGCCACAAGCGAAGAUCCCCCUUCUUCUCCGGUUCUCCCGUCCCCAAAAUUUCUCUGGCUUCCUCGCCCCCACACUCCCCACCGGCGCAUCCCCGAGGAGAACCCCAGAGCUUCCCCCCAGCGCGGCCGUCCCAUCCUAUUCCCUCCCUCCGCCACCCGCCUAGCGUGUGCGCACGUGCGAUGCUGCCUCCACGGCGGCGGCCACGCGCGGCGCGGUGACUGAGAUGGUGCGCUUCUUCCGCAGCGGGAACCUCGCCUCCAGGGUCUUCGACCGCCAGCUUCUCUCCCCGCGCCCCGGCGCUACGGUUAACACUGUUAGACAGUUCUAUGAGAAUUUGGUUCCAAGCUACACGAUAUAUGACAUAGAUUGCCCAGACUAUUCGUUUCGCAAGUUCACUGAUGAUGGGAAAUAUCUUGUGGCUUUUAGCCGAAACCACCAAGAUUUGAUUGUAUACCGCCCCAUCUGGUUGACAUAUUCAUGCACUGAAGAAUGUGAUUCUCAUGAUCUUCCACCAAAAGCAAAGAAGUUUGAUAGCUUCUUUAAGCAGCUCUACUCAAUUCCACUUGCAUCCAGCAAUGAAUACAUUUGCAAGGACUUUUUCCUGUACAUGGAUUGCCAUCAAUUUGGCUUAUUUGCAACAUCAACCGCACAAAGUAAUGAUUCAACUGCCACUGAGGGUGCAAUACAUGGCGUGCCAUCAAUUGAGAAAAUAACUUUCUAUCUUGUGAGGCUAGAAGAUGGCGUCAUACUGGAUGAAAAGGCUUUCUGCAAUGAUUUUAUCAAUCUGGCACAUAGUAUUGGUGCUUACUUGUAUGAGGACCUGCUAUGUAUUGUUUCUCUGAGAUAUCAAACAAUACAUAUCCUACAGAUCCGAGAUUCUGGCAACCUUGUUGACGUACGCAGAAUUGGCGCUUUCUGCCGGGAAGAUGAUGAGCUAUUUCUUCACUCACAUGUUCAGGCUGGUUUUGGGGGUUCUUUUCUUCCGGGCAUCAAGCAACGGUUGUUGUCGUAUAUUUUUCGCAAAACAUGGAACGAAGUUCCAGAUCAGACUUUGAGGGUCCAGCAUCUCAAGAAGAAGUUCUAUUUUCACUUCCAAGACUAUGUUGAUCUUAUCAUAUGGAAGGUACAGUUUUUGGAUCGCCAUCACCUAUUUAUCAAGUUCGGUAGUGUGGAUGGAGGGGUUUCUCGAAGCACAGAUCAAAACUUAGCAUUCUUUGCCGUGUAUAACAUGGAGACAACUGAUAUCGUUUCGCUUUACCAGAAUUCAUCGGAGGAGCUCUAUUCCUUGUUUGAACAAUUUUAUGACCAUUUUCAUGCCAAUCCACAAGAUUCAUCGCAUGGAAAAUUUAUCUCGUCGCACUCCAAUGAUAUUCAUGCUCUUGAUCAACUUCACACACUAAAAAAUAAAGCAAGCAGCUCCUCACAGUUUGUAAAAAAGAUGAUGGCAUCGUUGCCUUACACAUGCCAAUCACAGAGUCCUUCACCAUACUUUGAUCUAUCCCUUUUUAGGUAUGAUGAGAAGUUCCAUGAGCCCUGUAAUCAUCUUGGCUUCCAUAUAAGAUAAAAGUCUGAUUUCAGCAAUUGAUCGGCACCGGCAUUGCACAGAGCAUCCAAUAAAAUUUAUAUCAGUGAGGUCACCAAAUGUUGUCAAAUUUAAGAUCAAGCCAGGUUCGGAUUCUGGUGCUUCUGACAGCAGAGCGAAAAGAAUCUCAUCCUUCUUGUUUCACCCAUUUUUUCCACUUGCACUUUCAAUUCAGCAGACUUAUAUGCAGCCAACUGUUGUCAAUAUCCAUUUCAGGAGAUAGGAAAAGUAUAGGUGUUGCCCUAAUUGUAUUUGUACCAUCAGUGUGCUUGCAGCACUGCUUGCUGCAAAAUUUUGGCCAUCUGUAGGAUGAUGUUUAGAUGGUGGAUGUUAUAAUGGGGGUUGGGUAACAAGAGAUCUGUUGUUGGGAACUGAUAAUGACUUAUUUGGUUUCCCUUCCAAACAAGAACAACAUGUAAAGAGGCUCGUUAUUCAUCUUGGUCUGGCUUCA
Molecule: RNA transcript, 2067 nt
Organism: Panicum virgatum (switchgrass)
Lineage: Eukaryota; Viridiplantae; Streptophyta; Magnoliopsida; Poales; Poaceae
Gene name: light-mediated development protein DET1-like
Exons: 12
Source: RefSeq, a predicted model, not a curated record